This 293-nucleotide ribosomal RNA is filed under the name uncultured eukaryote. Its description in RNAcentral is "partial 18S ribosomal RNA". It matches the Rfam family "Eukaryotic small subunit ribosomal RNA", at positions 6 to 288 of the family's 1831-position model. The record is from RNAcentral.
GGUUGAUCCUGCCAGUAGUCAUAUGCUUGUCUUAAAGAUUAAGCCAUGCACGUCUAAGGAUAAAUAUUUUUUAACCGUAAACCUGCGGAUGGCUCAUUAAAUCAGUUACAAUCUACUCUAUUGUAUAAAUUUACUUGGAUAACCGUAGUAAUUCUAGAGCUAAUACAUGCAAAAAAUUUGAACUCGCAAGGGAACAAAUGUAUUUAUUAAGGGGCAAAAUCAAUACAAAUCAUUCCAAACUCUAGAUUAUACUUUAAUCGGUAUUUUUUAGGGGAUUUGUUAAAAAAAAAAUU